This 505-nucleotide unclassified non-coding RNA is filed under the name uncultured bacterium. RNAcentral's name for it is "partial contains 16S ribosomal RNA and 16S-23S ribosomal RNA intergenic spacer". The stretch from base 214 to 287 matches the Rfam family "tRNA". The record is from RNAcentral.
GGGWGAAGUCGUAACAAGGUAGCCGUAGGGGAACCUGCGGCUGGAUCACCUCCUUUCUAAGGAGUCAUUGACUCUAAAGAAAACUCGGGCCAAGGGCCACCUCUUCAAUACAUCCUUACACAACACUACGAAGUAGAUUCAGGUAUCGGUUCAGACGGAGACUUUCCAUGAGGAGAGUUCGCGAUACAGGCCCUGGUCGCUUCAGACUCAGCUGGGCCUGUAGCUCAGUUGGUUAGAGCACGCGCUUGAUAAGCGCGGGGUCGAUAGUUCAACUCUAUCCAGGCCCACCAUUCGUGCAGAGUCACACGUCCAUUGUCAGGCGUCAUUCGGGAGAGAGCUCCGACACGCUUCACGUAUGACGCUUCACGAUUGACGGGCUUCUGGGGCUGUAGCUCANUUGGGAGAGCACCUGCUUUGCAAGCAGGGGGUCGUCNGUUCAAUUCCGUCCAGCUCCCCCAAAUCUUNUGGUGUGAUGCAACGGAGCUCGCUCUGUUGCUCAACUUCU